RNAcentral lists this ribosomal RNA (439 nucleotides) under uncultured bacterium. RNAcentral's name for it is "partial 16S ribosomal RNA". It matches the Rfam family "Bacterial small subunit ribosomal RNA", at positions 339 to 795 of the family's 1533-position model. The record is from RNAcentral.
CUACGGGGGGCUGCAGUGGGGAAUUUUGCGCAAUGGGGGAAACCCUGACGCAGCAAUACCGCGUGAGUGAAGAAGGCCUUUGGGUCGUAAAGCUCUUUUCUUGGGGAAGAUAGUGACGGUACCCAAGGAAUAAGCACCGGCUAACUCCGUGCCAGCAUCCGCGGUAAUACGGAGGGUGCAAGCGUUGUUCGGAUUUACUGGGCGUAAAGGGCACGUAGGCGGCACAGCAAGUUAAGGGUGAAAUCCCGGGGCUCAACUCCGGAACUGCUCUUAAAACUGCUGAGCUAGAGAUAGUCAGAGGCGGGUGGAAUUCCAGGUGUAGAGGUGAAAUUCGUAGAUAUCUGGAGGAACACCGGUGGCGAAGGCGGCCCGCUGGGGCUAUUCUGACGCUAAGGUGCGAAAGCGUGGGGAGCAAACGGGAUUAGAUACCCCGGUAGUC